AUUGAACGCUGGCGGCAGGCCUAACACAUGCAAGUCGAGCGGAUGAAGGGAGCUUGCUCCUGGAUUCAGCGGCGGACGGGUGAGUAAUGCCUAGGAAUCUGCCUGGUAGUGGGGGAUAACGUCCGGAAACGGGCGCUAAUACCGCAUACGUCCUGAGGGAGAAAGUGGGGGAUCUUCGGACCUCACGCUAUCAGAUGAGCCUAGGUCGGAUUAGCUAGUUGGUGGGGUAAAGGCCUACCAAGGCGACGAUCCGUAGCUGGUCUGAGAGGAUGAUCAGUCACACUGGAACUGAGACACGGUCCAGACUCCUACGGGAGGCAGCAGUGGGGAAUAUUGGACAAUGGGCGAAAGCCUGAUCCAGCCAUGCCGCGUGUGUGAAGAAGGUCUUCGGGUUGUAAAGCACUUUAAGUUGGGAGGAAGGGCAGUAAGUUAAUACCUUGCUGUUUUGACGUUACCAACAGAAUAAGCACCGGCUAACUUCGUG
RNAcentral lists this ribosomal RNA (484 nucleotides) under uncultured bacterium. RNAcentral's name for it is "partial 16S ribosomal RNA". It matches the Rfam family "Bacterial small subunit ribosomal RNA", at positions 30 to 507 of the family's 1533-position model. The record is from RNAcentral.